GACAGAGGGUGCAAACGUUGUUCGGAAUUACUGGGCGUAAAGCGCGUGUAGGCGGCAAGCCAAGUCGGGUGUGAAAGCCCUGGGCUCAACCCAGGAAGUGCAUUCGAUACUGGCAAGCUAGAGUCCCGGAGAGGAUGGUGGAACUCUCGGUGUAGAGGUGAAAUUCGUAGAUAUCGAGAAGAACACCGGUGGCGAAGGCGGCCAUCUGGACGGUGACUGACGCUGAGACGCGAAAGCGUGGGGAGCAAACGGG
This 253-nucleotide ribosomal RNA is filed under the name uncultured bacterium. Its description in RNAcentral is "partial 16S ribosomal RNA". It matches the Rfam family "Bacterial small subunit ribosomal RNA", at positions 524 to 776 of the family's 1533-position model. The record is from RNAcentral.